CACAUUUGUUUGUUUGUUUGUUUGUUUUCACUUUAUUUUAUUGUUAUGCCUAGGAGACUGGACAUUUUUCGGCACAGACAAUCCUCCCUGUAUAGGCAGAUGCCAGCUAUUAGACAAGAUAAUGAAAGAGUAAAACACUUGGUUGUUCCUGUAAAAAUUAUACAUCAGAUGUCGUGAUGUGACCUCCUUUGUGUGACUUUCUGAGGGAAGAAUACAUAAGCACUAGGUAUCCUCUAUCACUGGGAUUUUUCAUCUGGCAAGAACAUUACGGAUAAAAUGGAGCACGGAGCCCACAUGAAGAGAUCUCCAUCCACAGGGCUAUCUUAGGUCUUUGACAUGGAAUUCCCCAAGCUUUGCCCAAAUGAGAACCAGCCUGUGCUUUGGUAAGAAUGGUAGAAAAGUUUGUGCUGCAGAUGAUGUUUGGCAGAAUUUGUUCUUGUCACUACAACAUAGCUGCACUGGUCCUGCUCACAGCAGAAAUAAGAGCUGCCUUCAGCAUCCACAAGCUGGUUGGUCCUGGUCCAACAGACUGAGGAUAGAUGAAAGGAAUCUGUUUGUGUUCCUCCUUAUGCUACCCUUUGAAAAUUGCUCUGUUUCCCUCUGCACUUAAUUCAGCUGUAAAAUGAGAUAAUAUUUACUAGUCUGUCUAGAACCUGUGAGAUUUACAAAGGAGAAGAACAUCUCUAACUUACAUAUAUUUAUAUUAUUUUACCAAGUACACAACAGUAAGGAUAAAAGAUAAAAGGUUCUGAGGCAGCAGACACAAUUCUUACAUCAGUAAAACAAGUCUAAGUAGCACAGUAAUUUGCUCAGUACUCUUUCAUUGUAAUGAGCUUUUCUAUCAAGAGGAUGUCUGGUGUUGUUUCAACCACUUUCUUGGAAUUGGUAUUGCCAUUUUCCAAACUGACCACCUGGAAUAAUGUCUGCAGCAGGCUAAAGUACUACUGCCAGCUAAAAGGGCUGGCUUCUGUGAUCAGCAAACACAAAUCUCCUGUCUAGGAAGAAGCCAGAUCUCUCCCUUUGUAUUUGAAUCAUUUCACAAUGGGGUGCGAUUAGCUGCUGUUCCUGUGGUAUGCAAAGAUCUCUCUCUCUUCCAGUUCCCCAAAAGCAAGCAAAAUCAUUACACCCCAAAAGAGCUGUAGGAACUGGGAUUCACUUCAUGCAAUAUCUCCAUCAGCUAGUUAUGCAGCACUGUCAACAUCCAGCUAUUAAAUAACUGAAUAUGAAAAACUAAGCAGACUGGCUUAAAAUUGGAUAUAAGACCACGUAGAUGCAGUUACCUUCCUGUAUUUUAUGCAUAAUAACAUUGUAAGCAACUUGCAGUUGCACUGCACACAGGUUAGGUUUUUAUUUCAUAUUUUUACAUCCAGAGGUUUAGUUGCCCAGAGAAGAAAGCUGAGAGUGUUGUGCUUUCACUUGACUCUGAGACCUGGCACCUUAAGUGGCUUCUGCUGGUGUUUAUUGAAAAUAGCUACCUGUCCAUGGUGGGCAAAGUGUUUGAGAGAAAAAUAAGGAAAGAAAUCACAUUUAUAAGAAAAUCAGUGGGGUAAUCAUGUGAUAGCAUAAUGUUCAUGUUAUACAAUUACUACUAAAUGAGCAUGGCAUUACUUUCUAAUCUAGAUAAUGUCCAAGAAUUUUACAAUGUAACCACUAUGUUUUGAAAGGAGGUGCUAUCAUAAUUGCCUAGGUAACAGCAGUGUCCCACUAACAGCAUGUAUUAUUGUUGAAUUUUAAAAAUCCCUGCAGCUUAGAAUGGUAUUUAUUGUUGGAGAUUGUAGGGAAUUAAUUUUGAAGAGAAUGAAUAUAGCAAACAAGAAUGUAAAAAAAAAUUGCAAGAUUUCUAAGAAUUGCAUCAGGUUUCAACAUGGCAACUUUGUACAUGAGAGAACAGAACAGUAGAUGCUGUUUUUAUUUAUUCAAGAAAAAUGCCAUGCUUUGAUCCCUCAGCCAUGGGUUUAACACUUUAAUUCCUUUCUCUGAUUGCUACUGCUGGGGAGUGGGAAAUGUUACCCAUGAGUUUGGUGUAAAACAAAGUUGAAUAAAUCCCCAGCUCAAGAAAAAAGAAGUGUCUUCAGUGCUAACUUCCCAGAUAGCCCCAGCCAAAGUUGAGUUACUUUCUGCUUACAUUGUAUGGGUUUUUCCGAGCUGGAGCUGUCUUUUAAUGAAGUGGUUGUCACUGGUAGUGGUUUCUACAGCUACUCUAACAGCUGCAGAAAUAGCACAAGAUGAAACUAAGAAUAUCCACUCUUUUACCCUGAGUUGAAAUUGCAUUUAUUUAAAGGACCAAAAGCAACGAGUUGUAUGACAUGGACAUGAAACUGUUGUAAAAAUCAUCAGUCAAGUAACACUAACAAUGCACAAGAAAGUACACAGUAAAUUUGAUAUUGCAAUGAGUUUUAAAUUGUGACCCAUUAAACAAAUCACCCAGUUUUUCCAUCUGCACUAGUAGCUGAUCCAGUACGUACUGCUUGUGAGGAUCCAGAAUUAUCUGAUUGCUGGUCACAUACAAACUUGCAUAGAUUUGGAGCUUCAUUGGCUUCCAGGCAGCUGCUAUUUCACAAGUUUUACUCAAAUCAGAACAAGUAUCUUUAGGAUUCACUAAUAUGUUCAUAAGAGACCAGAUAUGUUAUUGAUUUGUAGCAAGUUCUGCCUGGUUUGUUGCAAUAAACCAGACUGCAAAAUCCCUGAUUGUUCCCUGGGAGGAAGCUGCAGUGAUGGAAAACAGAUACAUUCUCCCCUUCACUAAAGGACCUACAGAGGACAAAGCUGACAUAAUCUGGAAAGUGCACACUGUUAAAUGAACAGAUGUGAAGUAAAACCACUACCAAAACUCUACAAGCUGUGCUCAUAAUGGGAAUUCUGGGGACAAGAAGAUAUAUAUAUAUAUAUAUAUAUGUCAGUAUAUUCUCAGCAACAGACCACUCACCUUUCCUUUUUAAACUGCAUUGAUGAGUGAAGACUGUCUAUUCUUGACCAGAUAUCUGAGGAUAUCUUUUUUCCCUUAGUACUUUACUCCCUUGGCAUAACAGCUGUCACUGAAAGAUAUUUCCUUCAUUUUGGAAGGCAAAGGUGGGAAUGCCACAAAACUAAUUCCUGUGAUGCAAUGUGCAUUCUUUGGCACUGGCUAAUUAUAGCACACAAGAGCUACCAGCUUCCCUGCUGAAGACAGAGUAGGUGAUCCCUGCUGUAGGGCUGCACUCUGCUCUUGGGUUCUACCUGUGUCACAGUGCCCAGUGACACUGCAGUGAAAGGGCAGUUUGUCAUCCCUUCUCAGACAGCUGUGCAACAACAGCACUGAGGAGAUUUCCCCUUUUCAAGGUUAGCCAGGUCUGGCACUGACAGUAACCCAUACUCGUUCUCUGUCAUCUCACAAGAGUAAAGAGGAGCAAAAGAAAAACCUCAGCCCCCAAACACCAUGCCUCUUAGUAUAGACAAGUGUAUGUUCAACAGAUGGAGAUGAAAGCCAGGAAAAAGUGGCUAUCUUGAUUCCAUGGCAAUGACAUGGAAUAGUAUUACAGCUGGUAAAUAAGAUUAAUACAGCCUCACUUAUGCCUAUCUUACUAAUGCUUUUUC
Long non-coding RNA from Passer montanus (Eurasian tree sparrow), 3573 nucleotides. RefSeq lists it as uncharacterized. NCBI's taxonomy places the organism in Eukaryota, Metazoa, Chordata, Aves, Passeriformes, Passeridae. The record is from RefSeq and is a predicted model, not a curated record. The transcript is spliced from 3 exons.